CCGGAUGUUAGCGGCGGACGGGUGAGUAACACGUGGGUAACCUGCCUGUAAGACUGGGAUAACUCCGGGAAACCGGAGCUAAUACCGGAUAGUUCCUUGAACCGCAUGGUUCAAGGAUGAAAGACGGUUUCGGCUGUCACUUACAGAUGGACCCGCGGCGCAUUAGCUAGUUGGUGAGGUAACGGCUCACCAAGGCGACGAUGCGUAGCCGACCUGAGAGGGUGAUCGGCCACACUGGGACUGAGACACGGCCCAGACUCCUACGGGAGGCAGCAGUAGGGAAUCUUCCGCAAUGGACGAAAGUCUGACGGAGCAACGCCGCGUGAGUGAUGAAGGUUUUCGGAUCGUAAAGCUCUGUUGUUAGGGAAGAACAAGUGCAAGAGUAACUGCUUGCACCUUGACGGUACCUAACCAGAAAGCCACGGCUAACUACGUGCCAGCAGCCGCGGUAAUACGUAGGUGGCAAGCGUUGUCCGGAAUUAUUGGGCGUAAAGGGCUCGCAGGCGGUUUCUUAAGUCUGAUGUGAAAGCCCCCGGCUCAACCGGGGAGGGUCAUUGGAAACUGGGAAACUUGAGUGCAGAAGAGGAGAGUGGAAUUCCACGUGUAGCGGUGAAAUGCGUAGAGAUGUGGAGGAACACCAGUGGCGAAGGCGACUCUCUGGUCUGUAACUGACGCUGAGGAGCGAAAGCGUGGGGAGCGAACAGGAUUAGAUACCCUGGUAGUCCACGCCGUAAACGAUGAGUGCUAAGUGUUAGGGGGUUUCCGCCCCUUACUGCUGCAGCUAACGCAUUAAGCACUCCGCCUGGGGAGUACCGUCGCAAGACUGAAACUCAAAGGAAUUGACAGGCGCCCGCACAAGCGGUGGAGCAUGUGGCUUAAUUCGA
Molecule: ribosomal RNA, 884 nt
Filed under: Bacillus aerius
Lineage: Bacteria; Bacillati; Bacillota; Bacilli; Caryophanales; Bacillaceae
Description: bacterial SSU rRNA
Rfam family: Bacterial small subunit ribosomal RNA
Source: RNAcentral